UACGUAGGGGGCAAGCGUUGUCCGGAAUCAUUGGGCGUAAAGAGCGUGUAGGCGGCCUGAAAGGUCAGCUGUGAAAACUCGAGGCUCAACCUCGAGACGUCGGUUGAAACCAUCUGGCUAGAGUCCGGAAGAGGAGUGUGGAAUUCCCGGUGUAGCGGUGAAAUGCGCAGAUAUCGGGAAGAACAGCCGUGGCGAAGGCGGCACUCUGGGACGGUACUGACGCUGAGACGCGAAAGCGUGGGGAGCGAACAGG
Molecule: ribosomal RNA, 253 nt
Filed under: uncultured bacterium
Lineage: Bacteria
Description: partial 16S ribosomal RNA
Rfam family: Bacterial small subunit ribosomal RNA
Source: RNAcentral